UAAACAGUAAAAAUAAAGAUCACUACCAGGAUAAUAAUAUGCUUUUCAAUGUAAAGGAGGGCAUUGUCAUUCAGUUACAACGUAACAGUAUCAGUUCUGUUAAAUUCUCAAUCCGUCUCUGUUUCAGGAUGUUCUGCUCCAAAGUUGCUUCACACUGUUUCAGCGCUCUUUGUCGCUUCUCUUCUUUCUCAGCCACAAACUUCUCAAGUUUCAUCUCCUCCUCUUUAGUCUUUUAGACAUCUUUGUCAUCUUGCUCUUUUCUGGAUGUAGCUGCAUAUUUUCUACUCUGCACUUAAGAGCUUCAGAGUCAAUAGUUACACUAACUCCAGUGGACAUGGAUCAAGAAAAGCUCCCAGAGGGUUACCACGAAGAUCUGCAGGAGAUGAAGAAGAAACUCGAAUACCUUCUACCACCAGCGGAUCUGUGGCCCAACUUUGCUCUGGAGUCUCAAGGUGCCAGACUUGUACAAACGAUGACCUCAGAAACAUAUGAGAGCAACAGACCAUGCAGAUUCUUUGGGAUGCCUUUAGAACAAGAACCCAUAGGCCCAAACAUUGUCAUUCAGAUCUGAACAACACUCAGAACAUUAAAUGAAUAUUAGGCAAAGUGGUGUUUCUUUUUUUU
Long non-coding RNA from Xiphophorus hellerii (green swordtail), 624 nucleotides. RefSeq lists it as uncharacterized. Lineage: Eukaryota; Metazoa; Chordata; Actinopteri; Cyprinodontiformes; Poeciliidae. The record is from RefSeq and is a predicted model, not a curated record. The transcript has 4 exons.